Molecule: long non-coding RNA, 2530 nt
Filed under: Nicotiana tabacum (common tobacco)
Lineage: Eukaryota; Viridiplantae; Streptophyta; Magnoliopsida; Solanales; Solanaceae
Description: long non-coding RNA (NTAB_LNC008455)
Source: RNAcentral
AAUUGGCGCUAAAAGUCACAAGCUAUAACGGUAAGUUUAGCCACCAUUAAUAUUAACUACUACAUUCGAUCAAAAAAUAAUGCAAAUAACAAAAUAUAUCAAUAUUAAUUCAUCAAACCAUAAUAUAUCUCAUUAAAUCUUAACAAAUAAAAGGAAGUACUUCUAAAAUAUUAAUAUCACAGUAACUUAAGAAAUAAACUUAAAUUAUUUGAACUAAAUAGCUAAUGUCAUUACAUAAUUAAUCUUAACGAAUUACAAUCUUCAAAUAAUUUCUGCAACUCUUCGUCAUAUUGAAAUCUUCCACCCGCUAAAUUAUCGAACAUCAGACUCUAUGACCUGAAAUUAUAAAAUAACUAUGACAAUAGAUGAAAUACAAUAAUCAUCAAUUCCAGGCUAGUUGGAGCUUGCUUGAAAUUAUUAUUCGACAAGUCAAUUCUUCCACAUAGUAAAAGAGAACACACAAUGCUCAUGCAACGUCGGGAAGAGAAACUGCGAUAAUAGUGAACUGACCGAGACAGUGUCAGGAGCAACUACAUCAUACUACAUGGGACAACCAGUCAGUUUGGAUCUUUGUCAUGUACAUGUAUUACAAAGACAUUAAGAAAUGAUAAAAUGGAAUAACAAAAUAACAAGAACAUCAAUAUGAGAGAUGAUAUGGGACUGGAUAUUUUAUGUCAAAAAUACACAAAGCAAAACAAAGUUGACAAAACUCAAUUCAAGCUAAUGGUUGCAUGAAUUCAAACACUGUAAAAUUAGGUUAGAUAUACAGAUAGAAUUAGAAGGUGAGAACUGCAUGAAAUCUAUUGCUUUGAUGAAACUCAUGAACUGCAUCUCUUCAAAGACAGGGAUUAAACGAAUGAGUCCGUAGAGACUUUCAAUACAUUAAAGUUCCUUUUAAAGACAUGACUUUCCUAAGAUGUAUUUCAGUCAUGCAUGUCUGUCUUAGGAAAGCAUAAAGAAGGCUUUUUAAAAUGCCGAUCCAAGUAACCAUUGUGUGAUAAUGGAGAAAUAACUAGCAGGAGUAAUUUAUGUUACCAUCUCAAGAAAAAACUAGCAGGAGUUGUUUUUGCUUUCUAUCAGCCAAAGCAUAUAUUUAACCAUUUAAGCACUUCAUAACACUACAGUAAUGUUAGCAAUCUUUGAGAUAUCACAUUAUUCAGAACUUGGCAAUAGCUAUGAUGACUAAUGCAUAUUGACAAUAAAACUUGGCAAUAGCUAUGAUGACUAAUGCAUAUUGACAAUAAAAGUAGCAGCAGUGACACAAUAGUUAGUGGCAGCUGUAACAAGCAACUCAUUCCUAGCAGAAUCUGAUAAUAAAUCACCCACUUCUUCAAGUAAGAAAACAGAUAAGCCCUUUAUCAUAAUUAAAGACCAAAUUUGAAUGAAAGCAUCUACUAAAGCAAGAACUGAGUUCCAUACUAUUUCAAUGAGGUCGAUCUAAAAGGAAAGCAUGAACUCCUUGAGAAAUUUGACUUCUAAAGUAUAUUCCUAGUAUACCUAGUUAGUCAUAUGACAUAGAAAAAACAACUUUACUGCUUCAUGAAAGAUAUCAUUAAGUAACUGUCUAAUGCACAGCACCAUCAAACCAACAAUCCGGGCAGUGGAAAGAUAAGUUAUCACAGCAGCGAACUAACUAUUUGUUAAAUACCAAUCUACACAAGUUCAUGGACUUUCUAUGCCUAAAAGCAGACCAAACUCUUGCAGCUGCAAUGGAUCAGAUGCCACACUAAAGCAACUUGUUACUUGUAAGCAACACAUACUUAAGUAGAAUAUUCAGAUAAUUGAUUCAAGGCCAAAUAAUUCCUAUAGUGCUAUUGAAUGUAGUCAUGUACUGUCACUGUAUGGCCCGUGACUGCUCUGUCUCGUAGGUCGUUCACAAUUGAACUUUUCAAUGGUAUCUUAAUCUUAAAAGAAGUUUAAAAAAUGGGUUUCAACUAUUGAGUAUUGACUGGCUUUUUUAAAAUCAAUAAUAAGUAAUAAAUGAACCUCCUUUACCACAACUAUUUCAAUGACAUAGAGGAAACACUAAUACUGUAAGGACUGGAACAAGGACAUGUAAUCUACGACCCAUUUAGUAUAAUCUCCGUAUUAAACCGCACUCUAUUAUCUGAUCACCUUAAUAAUGAUCAUUAAAAGAUUAUUAUUAUUAGAAAGAAAUUCGGAAUCACUAUAACAAUAAGUACUUCAAAUAUUUAGUCCACUUUUUAAUCCAUGAGCUUCUUAAUCUCCGAGUAUUACAAUAUAAGUGUAGUAUCUUAUCGUUAUAAUACCAUUACAAUUAUAUUACCAUCUUAGAGCACACAAAAAAAGAACGGAAAUAAGUGGAUGAACUAACUUGAAGUUGGUGAGGAGAAGCACAACAACCACGGGCUUGAACACCAAUAAGAGCUUCAAUUACAUCAUUUUCUUCUUCAGGACAACAACAAACUUUGACUUCUUGUUGGUCUACAACACUAUUAAAGAGCUACUUCCAUAAAGCAUGUUAGAAGAAGACCAAGUCAUCAAGAACUAAAAAGGCAAAAGAUCAUUA